GCGGUGCAUGGCCGUUUCUAGUUGGUGGAGUGAUUUGUCUGCUUAAUUGCGAUAACGAACGAGACCUUUGCGGGGGGUUGGGGACAGUUUCUGUAGUUAUACGGAAGGAUGUUCCGUUCUACCCGGAUUAUUGUCGUUACAAGAUAAAUGAAACGAAAGGCUACAACAGGUCUCUAUGCCCUUAGAUGUGCUGGGCCGCACGCGCGCUACAAUGAAAGGGAUCAGGAAGUAAUCGACCUUUUUUGAUAAAAAUGGGAAAUCUUUUAAAUCCUUUCGUGGUUUGGGAUUAAUUAUUGCAAUUAUUAAUUAUGAACAUGGAAUCUCUAGUAAGGGUAGGUCAUCAGCCUAACCUGACUACGUCCCUGCCCUUUGUACACACCGCCCGUCGCUCCUACCGAUCGAGCGAUACGGUGAACCUUCUGGACUACCAGGACCCUUGAGGUCUUAGUGGGAAGUUAAGUAAACCUUAUCACUUAGAGGAAGGAGAAGUCGUAACAAGGUUUCCGUAGGUGAACCUGCAGAAGGAUCA
This 529-nucleotide ribosomal RNA is filed under the name uncultured eukaryote. RNAcentral's name for it is "bacterial SSU rRNA". It matches the Rfam family "Eukaryotic small subunit ribosomal RNA", at positions 1277 to 1828 of the family's 1831-position model. The record is from RNAcentral.